Molecule: ribosomal RNA, 397 nt
Filed under: uncultured archaeon
Lineage: Archaea
Description: bacterial SSU rRNA
Rfam family: Archaeal small subunit ribosomal RNA
Source: RNAcentral
AAGGGUUGGGCAAGACCGGUACCAGCCGCCCGCGGUAAUACCGGCAGCCCGAGUGAUGGCCGAUCUUAUUGGGCCUAAAGCGUCCGUAGCUGGCUGCGCAAGUCCGUCGGGAAAUCCACUCGCCCAACGAGUGGGCGUCCGACGGAAACUGCACAGCUUGGGACCGGAAGGCUCGAAGGGUACGUUCGGGGUAGGAGUGAAAUCCUAUAAUCCCGCACGGACCACCGAUGGCGAAAGCACUUCGAGAAAACGGAUCCGACAGUGAGGGACGAAAGCCAGGGUCUCCAACCGGAUUAGAUACCCGGGUAGUCCUGGCCGUAAACAAUGUUUCGCUAGGUAUGACACAGACUACGCGUCUCUGUUGUGCCGUAGGGAAGCCGAGAAGCGAACCGCCUGG